UACGGAGGUCUGUCCCAAUCUGCUCCAGGCCUUCCAGCAUCAGAAAGGAUUCAUAUGUCUUCUUCAUGCAUGUUCCUUCAGAUAAUCACACAGAAAAAAGAAAACAUGAUAAGCAUCGUAGAAUCCAGUGACAAACAACCUUAUCUAGUAUUUGGGCCUGAAAUUAAAACAAAUAAGCACAAUCAUAUUGGAAAAGGUCCUAUAACAAAAAAUAAUAUUGCUGGGUGUAAUAGCUUUACAUUCAUUAUUAGAUGUUACUGUCAUUAAUUUGGACAUGUAGCAUAACCACGGCAUUGUCAAAUUAUUGCUAAUGGCGUCAGCUGAGAAAUAACAGGCUCAGCAGUUAAUGACUUCAGAGACAAGAGGUAAUGAGCUGAAAAAUAAGCAACAUUAUUAUAAAUAAGCUAAGUAAAUCCUAAGUUCUUGGAUCAAUCCCCAUAGCUUUUCUCUCCAGACUCGUUUUCUCAUCACACACACUCCUGUCAUCUCCUAUCCCAGUUCCCCCUCAUUCCUACUCCUACCCUCUCUCCCUCCACCACGCAACUUCUGUCAUUUUCUAGCAGUUUGCCAGCAUUUCUACUACUCAUCCCCACCCCCCUGGUCUCCAUUGGCUGGGCUGGCACCUGGCUCUGGGCCAGUCGUUCUGGAUGUCUGGCGAGACAGCAGCCGCUCACUCCGGCAGCGACACAGGGUCCCCCUCAUGAGAAGGCUGGAAGGCGGCCAAAAUGUUGCCUGAGUCUUCCCCAAACAAGCUCCGAUGUGACAGUUCUGAUGAGGCCUGUAGGACUGGACCCUCAUCAUGUGACACAGGACCAGGAGGACAAGUCUGCUUUGCUACUUUCCCAGAGAACUCAAGAGGCAAACCCUCUGAUGACAUAACAGGUUGUUUCCGGAUCUUGACAGAGCCUCUGAUCGUGCCAGCCCUACCUAUCGGAUGACCAGUUCUCCCCCUUCUGCACCUGGAUGGAUGAGAUGCAGAAAACUUCCAGGACUCUUUUUUGUCCAUCACGAUCGGUUUGGAGGUUGAUUUAUUGCUAGCCUUAGUCCCUUUGGUACAAACUGGGGGCAGAGCCCUUAGUUUGCCCUGUGGCGUUUCCGCUGGUUCUUUCAUUGGCCCUGUACUAUUGGGAGGGUCUUUCUGGAGUGCUGUGCCACCGCGAACUCUGAGGGCCUUUUCCAGCAUUCGAUUCAGCAGUUCCAUUUCCUGUCUCUCUUCAGGUAGGACAUCUGGGUCUACAGAAAGAAUGAGAAAAACAACCACAAAAUUACAAAGUACCCUGG
Long non-coding RNA from Esox lucius (northern pike), 1281 nucleotides. The record is from Ensembl. NCBI's taxonomy places the organism in Eukaryota, Metazoa, Chordata, Actinopteri, Esociformes, Esocidae.